GACGAACGCUGGCGGCGUGUCUUACACAUGCAAGUCGUGCGGCAAAGCGGGGCAACCCGCCCUAGAACGGCGGACUGGUGAGUAACACGUGGGUGAUCUGCCCUUGGGAUGGGGAUAACCUCUAGAAAUAGAGGGUAAUACCGACUACUUACGGCAUACUACCGUAUGUCGAGGAACAAUGCUUCAGUGCUGCUCGAGGAUGAACCCGCGUCACGUUAUCUACGCCGUGUGGUAUAGGUCCACCAAAGUGAUCAUGAGAAGCCGGUCUGAUAAGCUGUACUGACACGUUGGGACUGAGGUAUGGGCCAGACACCUGGGGCAGAGCUGCACGAGGAGUAUACGUCCAGAACUGCGAGCUUUGGGGGACGCAUCGUAAUGGAUAGCUGUUGGUCCACCGUUAUUAGCUGGCUUUCUUUUUGCGGAUGAAUAUGCGUGGGAACGAUAUGCCCGCGCCGCUGUUUUCGCUUCGUACGUUUCCAGCACCAAUUUAUACACUGCUCUCGCUUGAUUAUUUGCGCUUUAAAUUUCUCCUGUUAGUCUCUGAAUGUGUUCCGCACUCCAAUUCUUAAGCCCCCUCGGGCCGCACUUGUGCUACUCUCCCCCAAGCCUUGGCGCACGUCUUAUUGUAGAGUAUGUGAGGAGAGGCUCACAGGCAAACGCUCUUUACGCCUGCUGCAAUAUAUUGCUGAGCUGAACACUAAGGUGUUCGCAUCGCAGCUCAUAUCUCACCCGGCAAAUUCUGUUGGUGGUGUUACAAACACCCGGGGCGGAUAUUUUGGAUGAAGUUAUCAAUUAUUUUCCGCGCCCUCAGAAUUGGCACGCUUUUGAACGUAUCUGACUUGUGCGGGCUUUUGACACACCUGGUUAUGUACACUAGAUAACCGCGAUUUCUUAUUUCGCACGCCGUGUAGUUCACUGAAGGCGCUACCUGGUGCCAGACCUGUCUACCUCCCAUGUGCGCUUAGUACCCUGCCCGCCUCG
RNAcentral lists this ribosomal RNA (981 nucleotides) under uncultured bacterium. RNAcentral's name for it is "partial 16S ribosomal RNA". The stretch from base 13 to 373 matches the Rfam family "Bacterial small subunit ribosomal RNA", at positions 40 to 399 of the family's 1533-position model. The record is from RNAcentral.